AUGCAUGCAUAUUUUCUUUGCAGCACUGUUCACAAUAGCAAAGACAUGGAAUCAAUCCAAAUACCCAUCAAUGAUAGACUGGAUAAAGAAAAUGUGGUACAUAUAUACCAUGGAAUACUAUGCAGCCCUAAAAAGGAACAAAAUCAUGUCCUUUGCAGGGGCAUGAUGAAGCUGGAAGGCCUUAUCCUCAGCAAAUCAACGCAGGAACAGAAAACCAAACACCACAUGUUCUCACUUAUAAGUGGGUGUUGAACAAUGAGAACACAUGGACACAGGGAGGGAAGCACUACACACUGGGGUCUGUUGGGGUGAGUAGGGGAGGGACAGUGGGGUUGGGGAGUUGAGGAGAGAUAGCAUGGGGAGAAAUGCCAGAUAUAGGUGAAGGGGAGGAAGGCAGCAAAUCACACUGCCAUGUGUGUACCUAUGCAACUAUCUUGCAUGUUCUUCACAUGUACCCCAAAACCUAAAAUGCAAUUUAAAAAAAAACCAAGAGUGAAUGCAAUCAGUGAUAAAAGUGAGAUUCUGAUAAAGUUACAGAAGAUUAAUUCAUUUCAAGCUGUCCUUGACACAUUGCUAAAAUUUGGACCCCUGAUGAUGUGGCAGAAAGGGUAUCCUAAGCAGCAAGAGAACGUGGCAGAGGAUGAGGACACCUGAAGGUAAAGUGAAGAGUGACCUUGAGACUCAGGACUGAUCGCAAAAUGCGAACCCAAGCCAUGAAACAGGGUGAAGCUAAUGCGAGACGUUUAGUCUUCAUUCAACAGAGAGCAGAAGGGGAUGUCAAAGAAGGUAUUUGAGGGUAGGAGAAAGAUGAUCACAUUUGGUCUUGAAUAAGAGUAAUCUGUAUAAAAUGGACCCAAAGGCAAGAGUACGGCCAAUGAGAUCAUCUGGGAAGCUCAGAGACUAAGAAAAGAUACAAAGGUAAAACUUAAAACCUUUCUUCUCAGUGUGGUCCCAGCACAGAUGACCAGUAUCUGCAUCACCUGAAGGCUGGUUAGAAAUGCAGGUUCUCAGGUCCCACCUCAGACCUCUUGUAUCAGCGUCUGCAUUUUAUCAAGAUCCCUAAGAGAUCUGAAUUCACAUGAACGUUGCAGAAAUAAUGAAUUAAGAUAUUGACAGCAGGAGAGGAAGGUAGCCAAGAAGUUUGAACUCUUCCUUGGUUGAAUCAUUCGAAUUUGGUACCUGGCUAAAUGUGGGAGGUGAGGGAAGAGAAUAAAUCAAGAUUACUUAAUUUAUUCAUAAUGUUUGAGCAGUAGGAUGGUCAUGCUAUUCAUAGAAAUAGGAACCCCAAGAGGGGAACAGGAUGAGGAAGGAGACGGAGGCUGUGCGAGCCAACAAGCACAGGGAAAUGCUCCUUUCUGAAGCCAAGUCAGUCUUGGAGAUGAGCGAGUGAGUGUGACCCACAUGGAAAGGGUAUUUGAAACUGUGGAAAGAGGCAGAUGCGGAACGGGAGGCCGGGGAACAGUAUGGGGGAAAUAGCUGGAGAGUCCUACACUCAGCAGAAGAUGGGGGUGGAGAACAGCAAGGAGAGAAGAGAGCCAGAGGAGAGAAGAGAGCUAGGGAGGUACAAUGCUCUAAAAAUUAAGGGAGUUUAAAGGUGUUGCUAAGAGAUUAACCAGGGUAAUGAGUUCGUGUCCUUUGCAGGGACAUGGAUGAAUCUGGAAACCAUCAUUCUCAGCAAACUGACACAAGAACAGAAAACCAAACACCAUAUGUUCUCAUUCAUAGGUGGGUGUCGAACAAUGAGAACACACAGACACAGGGAGGGGAACAUCAGACACUGGGCUCUGUUGGGAGAUUGGGGGCCUGAGGGAGGGACAGCAGGGGCUGGGGAGAUUGAGGAGGGAUAACAUUGGGAGAAAUACCUAAUGUAGGUGACGGGAGGAUGGAGGCAGCAAACUACCAUGGCAUGUUUAUACCUAUGUAACAGUCCUGCAAGAUCUGCACAUGAACCCCAGAACUUAAAGUAUAAUAAUAAAAAGUAAUAAUAAAUCCCUCACUUUUCUAGUUCCUUUCUUUUAUUACCAUUCGUUCUUCUCUGUACCUUUCCAUGUAAUGCACUAUAAUGAAAUAUAUAGAAAAAAAUAAAAGAGAUUAACCAGGGUAGACAAGGAAUCUGUUUUGUGACUAAGAGAUUACAGGUGACUUUUGGAAAAGUCAUUGCUAUAAACCUCAUGAAUGUGGACGAGAGGAGUCAAAAGGUUUCAGGUCAGAGGGUAGUGAGAUCAGGCAAGUGUGAUCGCUGAUCAGUAAGUGUAAAUGAAAAGGUUAAAAAAGAACAUGAAAAUUUGAAGUGGCACAUAGGACCAGGUUGAAAUAACGUUAAACUUUUCAACUUUAAAGAUUUUCUUAUGGAAGAAAGAUCAGAAGUGUUCUCAUCAUAAUUCUCAGAAUUAUUAAGAAGGCAAACAAGCACAAGGAGAAUGAGAUUUUUGGCUCAUUAUAAAGAGGAUCUGCGUCUCACUGCUCCAUGAAAAUGGAACUCACCCCUGGUGAGUGUUAAUUUCUCAAACCAUACAGACUGCACAGCGUAACAUGAAGAGAGAGGUCCAAAGGCAAAAACUGUUCAUCAGUGACAUCUGCAGUGGUCUGAAUGGUGGUCCCUCCAAAAGAUGUGCCCACCUCCUAAUCCCCAGGUUGUGUGAUUACCUUAUAUGACAAAAGAUGUGAUGAAGUUAAGGCACUUGAAAGGAGGAGCUAAUCCUGGAUUUUCUGGGUGGGCCUUCACUGCAAUCACAUGUAUACUUAUAAAACAGGCAUAUACAGUAGGAGACAUGAAGAAAGAAGUGGGGGAGCCAGCGUGACCACAGGAACAGAGAUUGGAGUGGUGUCCUUACAAGUCAAGGAAUGCAGAUAGCCACCAGGUGCUGAAGGAAGAAAGGGGGGAUUCUCUCCUAGGGUCUUUAGAGGGAGUGCAGUCUUGCCAACACAUUGAUUUCAGACUUUGGCUUCCAGAAUUAUGAGAGAAUAAACUUCUGUUGUUUUAAGAUCUGAGAAAUUCAUACAUCUAACAUCCCCUUCCAACCCAGAUUUGUUUAGCUACUCUCACAUUGAUCACAUAGGGUCCUAAAAAGGAGAGCCCUUGACUUACUGUGUAUCCAAAACAGAAUGUCCAUGGUACCUGACACAUUAGAUGAUACUGACCUGAAAGAUGGGAUAACAGAUAUAUACACAACUCCUGUAUAAAUGAACAUAGGUCGAUUGGAGAAAGAGAUAGGUAAUUGACAGGUAGAUAGAUGGAGUGACUGGGUGAUUUACUCAUUCUACUCAGACAUGUAUUUAUUAUAUAUUUACUUGCAUACUCUCAUGAAGUUAACUUCUUUGGAGAGAAUCAAAAUAAAUAUUACCUGGGUUAUCUAUCCUUGAGGGUCAAACUUUAUAUUAAGAGGGUAAGUGCCACUAGUAUUCGGAGUAGGGAGAAGUAACUUUGCAGUUGUUUGGACAGACUGAUUUUCAGUUUCUGACAUUCAAAUGAAUCAAAGAAUUUAGAAUAA
Molecule: long non-coding RNA, 3491 nt
Filed under: Callithrix jacchus (white-tufted-ear marmoset)
Lineage: Eukaryota; Metazoa; Chordata; Mammalia; Primates; Cebidae
Description: lncRNA (ENSCJAG00000075004.1)
Source: RNAcentral